Gnomoniopsis sp. IMI 355080 is the source of this 95-nucleotide non-coding RNA. The record is from the annotation of a GenBank genome assembly. Lineage: Eukaryota; Fungi; Ascomycota; Sordariomycetes; Diaporthales; Gnomoniaceae.
GCGUAAAUGGUUUAGUGGUAAAAUCCAUCGUUGCCAAAGGCGUUAUAAACGCUCAAGACCUCGAUGGGCCCCCGGUUCGAUUCCGGGUUUACGCA